AAAGUCGUAACAAGGUAACCGUAGGUGAACCUGCGGUUGGAUCAUUAACAAAUCAAUUUAGGCCCCCUGUUGCCUAGCGCAAAGGGGAAAACCUAAACAUUUGUGUGCACUGUAUCUGUCUUUGGCAGUUCGAACGUCCCGAGUUUGCGUAACUGCCUCGGGUACCUACCAAGGCAAGCCUUUGUGCUUGUCCGGGUUAGGCUGCCGCCAAUUUUGAACAAACCUUCUGUUUUUUUUACUGCCUGAAAUUGUUUGAUCUUCACAGAUUAAAUUUAAAUACAACUUUUGACAACGGAUCUCUUGGCUCUC
RNAcentral lists this unclassified non-coding RNA (309 nucleotides) under Chytridiomycota sp. RNAcentral describes it as "partial contains small subunit ribosomal RNA, internal transcribed spacer 1, and 5.8S ribosomal RNA". The stretch from base 1 to 47 matches the Rfam family "Eukaryotic small subunit ribosomal RNA", at positions 1785 to 1831 of the family's 1831-position model. Lineage: Eukaryota; Fungi; Chytridiomycota. The record is from RNAcentral.